AGGACGAACGCUGGCGGCGUGCCUAACACAUGCAAGUCGAGCGGGGACUUAUGAAUGAAGUUUUCGGAUGGAGUUGAUAAGUUCUAGCGGCGGACGGGUGAGUAACGCGUGAGCAACCUGCCCUUCACAGGGGGAUAACACAGCGAAAGCUGUACUAAUACCGCAUGAGACCACAGAGCUGACAUGGCAAAGGGGUCAAAGGAGAGAUCCGGUGAAGGAUGGGCUCGCGUCUGAUUAGCUGGUUGGUGAGGUAACGGCCCACCAAGGCGACGAUCAGUAGCCGACCUGAGAGGGUGAUCGGCCACAUUGGAACUGAGAGACGGUCCAAACUCCUACGGGAGGCAGCAGUGGGGAAUAUUGGGCAAUGGGCGAAAGCCUGACCCAGCAACGCCGCGUGAAGGAAGAAGGUUUUCGGAUCGUAAACUUCUAUCCUUGGUGAAAAUAAUGAUGGUAGCCAAGAAGGUAGCCCCGGCUAACUACGUGCCAGCAGCCGCGGUAAUACGUAGGGGGCAAGCGUUGUCCGGAAUGAUUGGGCGUAAAGGGCGCGUAGGCGGCCAACUAAGUCUGAAGUGAAACUCCUGCUUUUAAGGCAGGAACUGCUUUGGAUACUGGAUGGCUUGAGUGCAGGAGAGGUAAGCGGAAUUCCCGGUGUAGCGGUGAAAUGCGUAGAGAUCGGGAGGAACACCAGUGGCGAAGGCGGCUUACUGGACUGUAACUGACGCUGAGGCGCGAAAGUGUGGGGAGCAAACAGGAUUAGAUACCCUGGUAGUCCACACUGUAAACGAUGAGUGCUAGGUGUAGGGGGUAUCGACCCCUUCUGUGCCGGAGUAAACACAAUAAGCACUCCGCCUGGGGAGUACGGCCGCAAGGUUGAAACUCAAAUGAAUUGACGG
Molecule: ribosomal RNA, 893 nt
Filed under: uncultured bacterium
Lineage: Bacteria
Description: bacterial SSU rRNA
Rfam family: Bacterial small subunit ribosomal RNA
Source: RNAcentral